RNAcentral lists this ribosomal RNA (576 nucleotides) under uncultured bacterium. Its description in RNAcentral is "partial 16S ribosomal RNA". It matches the Rfam family "Bacterial small subunit ribosomal RNA", at positions 355 to 923 of the family's 1533-position model. The record is from RNAcentral.
UGGGGAAUUUUGGACAAUGGGCGAAAGCCUGAUCCAGCAAUGCCGCGUGUGUGAAGAGGGCCUUCGGGUUGUAAAGCACUUUUGUCCGGAAAGAAAUCCUUGGCUCUAAUACAGUCGGGGGAUGACGGUACCGGAAGAAUAAGCACCGGCUAACUACGUGCCAGCAGCCGCGGUAAUACGUAGGGUGCAAGCGUUAAUCGGAAUUACUGGGCGUAAAGCGUGCGCAGGCGGUUUGCUAAGACCGAUGUGAAAUCCCCGGGCUCAACCUGGGAACUGCAUUGGUGACUGGCAGGCUAGAGUAUGGCAGAGGGGGGUAGAAUUCCACGUGUAGCAGUGAAAUGCGUAGAGAUGUGGAGGAAUACCGAUGGCGAAGGCAGCCCCCUGGGCCAAUACUGACGCUCAUGCACGAAAGCGUGGGGAGCAAAACAGGAUUAGAUACCCUGGUAGUCCACGCCCUAAACGAUGUCAACUAGUUGUUGGGGAUUCAUUUCCUUAGUAACGUAGCUAACGCGUGAAGUUGACCGCCUGGGGGGUACGGUCGCAAGAUUAAAACUCAAAGGAAUUGACGGGGUCAUA